AUGGAGACCGAGAUUGUGGUCAGAAAUUUGCCGGAGCUACCGCGGGACGUAUUGAUGGAUAUCUUCGCCCUCCUGGAGAUCCCAGACCUCAAGCGUGCGGGCUCCGUCUGCUCCUCGUGGUGCUCUGUCUAUACCAGCCUAUGCAGCCGGCUUGAGCUGUACAAACGGCCCCAGACGCCUUGCCUCCUCUACACCUCUGAAUCUGCCGCUGACAACGUAGCUUGUCUCUACAGCCUCGCGGAAAAGCGGGUCUACAAUCUAACUCUUCCGGAUCCACCCAUCUGCAGCAGGUAUCUGAUUGGGUCCUCUCAUGGCUGGCUGAUCACCGCCGACGAGAGGUCCGAGCUACACCUUCUCAAUCCGAUCACCUGCCAACAGAUUGCUCUCCCGUCGGUAAUCACCAACGAGAGGGUGAAGCCGGUCUUUGACGAUGCAGGCACAAUUAAGGAGUAUGAAUUGUGGGAGCCAAAGUAUGACGUUGAGCUAGACUGUGAAUUGGAUGAUCAUCAUAAGUCAACCCAUGCUCUGGACAAGCUUCGUGACUUGUUCUACAUCAGGGCAUACAUAUUUCCUCAUCCGUCUACACGAAGCUACAUUGUGGUUCUCAUCCACAGCGGAUCACAACUUUCGUUUGCAAGAGUAGGAGAUUGUAAGUGGACAUUGCUGCCGCGGGGUAAUGACUAUGAAGACUGCAUCUACAUGGAUGGCCUAUUGUAUGCCUUCACGAGCUUUGGACAAAUUGAUACUUUUGAUCUCCACAGUCCUACCAUUACAAGGAAUAGAAUUAUAGGCGACAUGAAGACUUAUACUCAAGGGCGGCUGUACGUUCUCCAGGCUCCAUCUGGUGAUCUGCUGCAAGUUCACAGGAUUUUGGAACUCGAAGAUACUGAUGAUAAGGAGGAGGAGGCCAUACUUGUGACUAACAGCAUAUUGUUAUAUAAGGUUGAUAUGGCAGCAAAAGACCUUGUGUUAAUAAACGACUUGCAUGAUCAAGUGCUAUUUCUCGGGUGUAACCAGUCGCAAUACCGUAGCGCUGACGAAUUCCCUCAGCUGAAGCCAAAUUGUGUUUAUUUCACUGAUGAUGAGGCAUAUGUUUGGAAGUAUAAGAAUUAUUGCCGGGAUAUAGGUGUUAUCAACUUGGAAAAUAACAAAAGGGAAGAAAUUCUACCUCAGCUUUGGUGUAGCUGGCCAAAUCCCAUAUGGGUAACACCGAAUCUUGCAAGGAUGAACUGGGGUUGUACAAAUAGAUGA
RNAcentral lists this ribosomal RNA (1251 nucleotides) under Triticum aestivum (bread wheat). RNAcentral's name for it is "partial small subunit ribosomal RNA". The record is from RNAcentral. Lineage: Eukaryota; Viridiplantae; Streptophyta; Magnoliopsida; Poales; Poaceae.